GCACUGCUGAAGGGUCCCUCAAUAGGAUGAAACGGCCGUCCAGUGC
Non-coding RNA from Schistosoma mattheei, 46 nucleotides. The record is from Rfam. NCBI's taxonomy places the organism in Eukaryota, Metazoa, Platyhelminthes, Trematoda, Strigeidida, Schistosomatidae.